This 251-nucleotide ribosomal RNA is filed under the name Psychrobacter meningitidis. Its description in RNAcentral is "partial 16S ribosomal RNA". It matches the Rfam family "Bacterial small subunit ribosomal RNA", at positions 741 to 991 of the family's 1533-position model. Lineage: Bacteria; Pseudomonadati; Pseudomonadota; Gammaproteobacteria; Moraxellales; Moraxellaceae. The record is from RNAcentral.
UGACACUGAGGUUCGAAAGCGUGGGUAGCAAACAGGAUUAGAUACCCUGGUAGUCCACGCCGUAAACGAUGUCUACUAGUCGUUGGGUCCCUUGAGGACUUAGUGACGCAGCUAACGCAAUAAGUAGACCGCCUGGGGAGUACGGCCGCAAGGUUAAAACUCAAAUGAAUUGACGGGGGCCCGCACAAGCGGUGGAGCAUGUGGUUUAAUUCGAUGCAACGCGAAGAACCUUACCUGGUCUUGACAUCCAC